RNAcentral lists this ribosomal RNA (253 nucleotides) under uncultured bacterium. Its description in RNAcentral is "partial 16S ribosomal RNA". It matches the Rfam family "Bacterial small subunit ribosomal RNA", at positions 524 to 776 of the family's 1533-position model. The record is from RNAcentral.
UACGUAGGGGGCAAGCGUUGUCCGGAUUUAUUGGGCGUAAAGAGCGUGUAGGCGGCCAUGCAGGUCCGCUGUGAAAACUGGAGGCUUAACCUCCAGACGUCGGUGGAAACCGCAUGGCUAGAGUCCGGAAGAGGAGAGUGGAAUUCCCGGUGUAGCGGUGAAAUGCGCAGAUAUCGGGAAGAACACCCGUGGCGAAGGCGGCUCUCUGGGACGGUACUGACGCUGAGGUGCGAAAGCGUGGGGAGCAAACAGG